RNAcentral lists this ribosomal RNA (468 nucleotides) under uncultured bacterium. RNAcentral's name for it is "partial 16S ribosomal RNA". It matches the Rfam family "Bacterial small subunit ribosomal RNA", at positions 28 to 507 of the family's 1533-position model. The record is from RNAcentral.
GACGAACGCUGGCGGCGUGCUUAACACAUGCAAGUCGAACGGAAAGGCCCUGCUUUUGUGGGGUGCUCGAGUGGCGAACGGGUGAGUAACACGUGAGUAACCUGCCCUUGACUUUGGGAUAACUUCAGGAAACUGGGGCUAAUACCGGAUAGGAGCUCCUGCUGCAUGGUGGGGGUUGGAAAGUUUCGGCGGGUGGGGAUGGACUCGCGGCUUAUCAGCUUGUUGGUGGGGUAGUGGCUUACCAAGGCUUUGACGGGUAGCCGGCCUGAGAGGGUGACCGGCCACAUUGGGACUGAGAUACGGCCCAGACUGCUACGGGAGGCAGCAGUGGGGAAUAUUGCACAAUGGGCGGAAGCCUGAUGCAGCAACGCCGCGUGCGGGAUGACGGCCUUCGGGUUGUAAACCGCUUUCGCCUGUGACGAAGCGUGAGUGACGGUAAUGGGUAAAGAAGCACCGGCUAACUACGUG